UGCGCAGGCGGAAUGAUAAGUUAGUGGUGAAAGCCCCCGGCUCAACCGGGGAACUGCCAUUAAUACUGUCAUUCUUGAGUAUAGUUGAAGUGGGCGGAAUGUAUCAUGUAGCGGUGAAAUGCUUAGAUAUGAUACAGAACACCGAUAGCGUAGGCAGCUUGCUAAACUAUAACUGACGCUCAGGCACGAAAGCGUGGGGAGCAAACAGGAUUAGAUACCCUGGUAGUCC
This 229-nucleotide ribosomal RNA is filed under the name uncultured bacterium. RNAcentral's name for it is "partial 16S ribosomal RNA". It matches the Rfam family "Bacterial small subunit ribosomal RNA", at positions 568 to 796 of the family's 1533-position model. The record is from RNAcentral.